RNAcentral lists this ribosomal RNA (245 nucleotides) under uncultured bacterium. Its description in RNAcentral is "partial 16S ribosomal RNA". It matches the Rfam family "Bacterial small subunit ribosomal RNA", at positions 524 to 768 of the family's 1533-position model. The record is from RNAcentral.
AACGUAGGAGGCGAGCGUUAUCCGGAUUUACUGGGUGUAAAGCGCGUGCAGGCGGUUCGCCAAGUUGGGUGUGAAAGCUCCUGGCUCAACUGGGAGAGGUCGCUCAAGACUGACGAACUGGAGAGCAGUAGGGGAAGGUGGAAUUCCGGGUGUAGUGGUGAAAUGCGUAGAUAUCCGGAGGAACACCAGUGGCGAAGGCGGCCUUCUGGACUGCAUCUGACGCUCAGACGCGAAAGCUAGGGGAG